GCGGCCUAUCAGCUUGUUGGUGAGGUAACGGCUCACCAAGGCUACGAUGGGUAACCGGCCUGAGAGGGCGAACGGUCACACUGGGACUGAGACACGGCCCAGACUCCUACGGGAGGCAGCAGUGGGGAAUAUUGGGCAAUGGGCGGAAGCCUGACCCAGCGACGCCGCGUGAGGGAUGAAGGCCUUCGGGUUGUAAACCUCUUUCAGCAGGGAAGAAGCGAAAGUGACGGUACCUGCAGAAGAAGCACCGGCUAACUAUGUGCCAGCAGCCGCGGUAAUACAUAGGGUGCAAGCGUUGUCCGGAAUUAUUGGGCGUAAAGAGCUCGUAGGUGGCUCGUCACGUCGAAUGUGAAACCCUGAGGCUCAACCUCAGGCCUGCAUCCGAUACGGGCGAACUGGAGUGUGGUAGGGGAGACUGGAAUUCCU
Molecule: ribosomal RNA, 426 nt
Filed under: uncultured Actinomycetes bacterium
Lineage: Bacteria; Bacillati; Actinomycetota; Actinomycetes
Description: bacterial SSU rRNA
Rfam family: Bacterial small subunit ribosomal RNA
Source: RNAcentral